GGCGGCGUGCCUAAUACAUGCAAGUAGAACGCUGAAGGAGGAGCUUGCUUCUCUGGAUGAGUUGCGAACGGGUGAGUAACGCGUAGGUAACCUGCCUGGUAGCGGGGGAUAACUAUUGGAAACGAUAGCUAAUACCGCAUAAUAGUAGAUGUUGCAUGACAUUUGCUUAAAAGGUGCAAUUGCAUCACUACCAGAUGGACCUGCGUUGUAUUAGCUAGUUGGUGGGGUAACGGCUCACCAAGGCGACGAUACAUAGCCGACCUGAGAGGGUGAUCGGCCACACUGGGACUGAGACACGGCCCAGACUCCUACGGGAGGCAGCAGUAGGGAAUCUUCGGCAAUGGACGGAAGUCUGACCGAGCAACGCCGCGUGAGUGAAGAAGGUUUUCGGAUCGUAAAGCUCUGUUGUAAGAGAAGAACGAGUGUGAGAGUGGAAAGUUCACACUGUGACG
This 452-nucleotide ribosomal RNA is filed under the name Streptococcus mitis. RNAcentral describes it as "bacterial SSU rRNA". It matches the Rfam family "Bacterial small subunit ribosomal RNA", at positions 38 to 474 of the family's 1533-position model. Lineage: Bacteria; Bacillati; Bacillota; Bacilli; Lactobacillales; Streptococcaceae. The record is from RNAcentral.